UCACAGUCAUCAAGUAAUAAUAAAAUAUUCCCAUAACAUUAAAAAUCGUCAUAGGAACUGUUAUCGAGUAUUUCAAAAAAACAGUUUUUACUUCCAAAAAAAAAAAAUUAAAUAUUCUGAAUCCUAGUUUCUUGUUUAAAUAUUUAAAAUGUUUUCAAAAACCGUGAUACAGAUUUUUUGCGUGGCAUUUUAUUUUAUGCAAUGUCAAGGUGCUGGCCCUACUAAACAACAACUUCAAAUCAUGAGCAAAUGUCAAGGUGCUGGCCCUACUAAACAACAACUUGAAAAAAUAAAAAAAAUAGUCAGUGAACAUCACAAGCCGAGUGGCUUGCACUACGAAGAUUUAUUAAUUGUUUUUGACGAAGUAAAACAAGCAACGGGCGCACGUGGAAACUUCCCCAGCCGUGAUGAA
This is a long non-coding RNA of Adelges cooleyi (spruce gall adelgid), 412 nucleotides long. RefSeq lists it as uncharacterized. The record is from RefSeq and is a predicted model, not a curated record. The transcript is spliced from 3 exons. NCBI's taxonomy places the organism in Eukaryota, Metazoa, Arthropoda, Insecta, Hemiptera, Adelgidae.